CCGCGCUUAGCUCAGUUGGCUAGAGCACCUGACAGUAGAUCAGGGGGUCCCCGGUUCAAGUCCGGGAGCGCGGACCA
Molecule: transfer RNA, 77 nt
Filed under: Methanobacteriota archaeon
Lineage: Archaea; Methanobacteriati; Methanobacteriota
Description: Euryarchaeota archaeon tRNA-Tyr
Rfam family: tRNA
About the family: Transfer RNA (tRNA) molecules are approximately 80 nucleotides in length. Their secondary structure includes four short double-helical elements and three loops (D, anti-codon, and T loops).
Source: RNAcentral